GGACCCGCACAAGCGGUGGAUUAUGUGGAUUAAUUCGAUGCAACGCGAAAAACCUUACCUACCCUUGACAUGUCCUGAAGCCCGGUGAGAGCUGGGUGUGCCCGAAAGGGAACGGGAACACAGGUGCUGCAUGGCUGUCGUCAGCUCGUGUCGUGAGAUGUUGGGUUAAGUCCCGCAACGAGCGCAACCCUUGUCAUUAGUUGCUACAUUCAGUUGGGCACUCUAAUGAGACUGCCGGUGACAAACCGGAGGAAGGUGGGGAUGACGUCAAGUCCUCAUGGCCCUUAUGGGUAGGGCUUCACACGUAAUACAAUGGCGCGUACAGAGGGUUGCGAAGGGGUGACCUGGAGCCAAUCCCUUAAAGCGCGUCGUAGUCCGGAUUGCAGUCUGCAACUCGACUGCAUGAAGUCGGAAUCGCUAGUAAUCGCGGAUCAGCAUGUCGCGGUGAAUACGUUCCCGGGUCUU
This 465-nucleotide ribosomal RNA is filed under the name uncultured bacterium. RNAcentral's name for it is "bacterial SSU rRNA". It matches the Rfam family "Bacterial small subunit ribosomal RNA", at positions 917 to 1382 of the family's 1533-position model. The record is from RNAcentral.